RNAcentral lists this ribosomal RNA (388 nucleotides) under unidentified bacterium sp. sbr-gs8. RNAcentral's name for it is "bacterial SSU rRNA". It matches the Rfam family "Bacterial small subunit ribosomal RNA", at positions 29 to 421 of the family's 1533-position model. The record is from RNAcentral.
AUUAAACGCUGGCGGCAUGCCUUACACAUGCAAGUCGAACGGUAGCGCGGGGCAACCUGGCGACGAGUGGCGAACGGGUGAGUAAUGCAUCGGAACGUGCCCUGGAAUGGGGGAUAACGUAGCGAAAGUUACGCUAAUACCGCAUAUUCUGUGAGCAGGAAAGCAGGGGAUCGCAAGACCUUGCGUUCUGGGAGCGGCCGAUGUCGGAUUAGCUAGUUGGUGGGGUAAAGGCCUACCAAGGCGACGAUCCGUAGCGGGUCUGAGAGGAUGAUCCGCCACACUGGGACUGAGACACGGCCCAGACUCCUACGGGAGGCAGCAGUGGGGAAUUUUGGACAAUGGGCGGAACCUGAUCCAGCCAUGCCGCGUGAGUGAAGAAGGCCUUCAG